This is a small nuclear RNA of Microtus ochrogaster (prairie vole), 107 nucleotides long. Lineage: Eukaryota; Metazoa; Chordata; Mammalia; Rodentia; Cricetidae. The record is from Ensembl.
GUGUCUGCUUCAGCAUCACAUAUACUAAAAUUGGAAUGAUACAAAGAAGAUUAGCAUGGCCUCUGCUCAAGGAUGGCAUGCAAAUUUGUGAAAUGUUCCAUAUUUUU